Molecule: ribosomal RNA, 528 nt
Filed under: Pantala flavescens
Lineage: Eukaryota; Metazoa; Arthropoda; Insecta; Odonata; Libellulidae
Description: partial 16S rRNA
Rfam family: Bacterial large subunit ribosomal RNA
Source: RNAcentral
GGGCUUUUUUUAGGUCUGACCUGCCCAGUGAUAAUUUUAACGGCCGCGGUAUACUGACCGUGCAAAGGUAGCAUAAUCAUUAGUCUUUUAAUAGAGGGCUGGAAUGAAAGGUUUCACGAGGAACUAGCUGUCUCAUUUUAUUUGUUUUAAAAUUUAAUUUUUUAGUCAAAAAGCUAAAAUGCAAUUGGUAGACGAGAAGACCCUAUAGAUCUUUAUAUAAUUUUAAAUACUUAUUUAUAUAUUAAUAUUUUUAUUUAAAAUUGUAUUUUGUUGGGGUGACAAAAAUAUAUAAUUAACUUUUUUAUUUACAUAACAUUGAUAUAUGAAUAUUAGAUCCAUUAUUAGUGAUUGAUAGAUUAAGUUACCUUAGGGAUAACAGCGUAAUCCUCCUCCAGAGUUCAUAUUUACAGGAUGGGCUUGCGACCUCGAUGUUGGAUUAAGAUAAUAAUUAGGUGUAGCCGCUUAAUUUAUAGGUCUGUUCGACCUUUAAAUUCUUACAUGAUCUGAGUUCAAACCGGAGAAUUUAUU